This 465-nucleotide ribosomal RNA is filed under the name uncultured bacterium. RNAcentral's name for it is "partial 16S ribosomal RNA". It matches the Rfam family "Bacterial small subunit ribosomal RNA", at positions 338 to 795 of the family's 1533-position model. The record is from RNAcentral.
CCUACGGGAGGCUGCAGUGGGGAAUAUUGCGCAAUGGGCGAAAGCCUGACGCAGCGACGCCGCGUGAGGGAUGAAGGUCUUCGGAUCGGAAACCUCUGUCAGCAGGGAAGAACGGUCACUGUGCUAAUCAGCAGUAAAUUGACGGUACCUGCAAAGGAAGCACCGGCUAAAUACGUGCCAGCAGCCGCGGUAAUAGGGAGGGUGCGAGCGAUAAGCGGAAGUACUGGGCGGAAAGCGCUCGUAGGCGGUAUGUCAAGUCAAGUGUGAAAUCCCCGCGCUCAACGUGGGAACUGCCUUUGAAACUGGCAAACUUGAGUGUGUGAGAGGAUAGUGGAAUUCCAGGUGUAGGAGUGAAAUCCGUAGAUAUCUGGAGGAACAUCAGUGGCGAAGGCGACUAUCUGGCACAUAACUGACGCUGAGGCGCGAAAGCGUGGGGAGCAAACAGGAUUAGAUACCCCAGUAGUC